This 97-nucleotide Y RNA is filed under the name Propithecus coquereli (Coquerel's sifaka). RNAcentral's name for it is "Y RNA (ENSPCOG00000012164.1)". It matches the Rfam family "Y RNA". Rfam says of the family: Y RNAs are components of the Ro ribonucleoprotein particle (Ro RNP), in association with Ro60 and La proteins. The record is from Rfam by way of RNAcentral. Lineage: Eukaryota; Metazoa; Chordata; Mammalia; Primates; Indriidae.
GGCUGGUCUGAUGGUAGUGGGUUAACAGAACUUAUUAACAUUAGUGUCACUAAAGUUGGUCUACAACUCCCCCGCUGCUAAAUCUGAUUGGCUUAAA